This is a long non-coding RNA of Cucurbita moschata (crookneck pumpkin), 920 nucleotides long. RefSeq lists it as uncharacterized. The record is from RefSeq and is a predicted model, not a curated record. NCBI's taxonomy places the organism in Eukaryota, Viridiplantae, Streptophyta, Magnoliopsida, Cucurbitales, Cucurbitaceae. The transcript is spliced from 3 exons.
UUCGCUACCGAUCUUGGUGAGGGAAACGGACGGAACGACGAGAUCUGAGAGACUAUCCAAGAACGGUAAGGUUGUUACCGAACCUCUUUUCGACGCUCGAAACUCAUCGUGUGACUAAGCAAAAAUCAAGAAAAUAAUAUUGGCACGUAGGUUGAUAGAUGAUCUAUAACUUUGUUGAAGAAACCACCUCUGUUUGGGUUAAGAAUCGAAAGAUAGAAAAUGGAAAGAAACCUCGGAAAAACUAAUCGGAAGCCUUGAUUUUCUGGUAGGAGGAGAGAGAAGCCGCCGGCGUACCACGCGUCAACCAACCAGAGGGCCGCGUGCGCCAAUCGCCCCCGGACACGCGUCGAGCGCCGCCUGGGAAAACGCGGCUCCAGCGCUCCUGCGACACGCGUCCCUGGCUCCGCGACCCGACCCGCGCUCCUUGGCUGACCCGAUACCCGCACGGCGAACCGAAUCCAGUUGACGACCCGCGGUCCACCCGAAUCACCGCUUCCGACCCGAACCCGCGACCCGCGACUGCAGGAAUUUCUGGGCGCGUGACACUCGCGCGUGGAACCCGCGAGUGGCUGCUCCCCAGCGCGUGACUGGCGCGUGGAGGCGCGUGACCUUAUUGAGGAAAAAUCACCCCCUCUCGUUACGCCAAGUGUGUGGAAACGCUGCGUAAGGGCACGUAGCAUCCAAGUACGUGAGGCGUCGAGUCAAGAGAGGGCGCGUCGAUCGAUGUGGGUUGUCACAGAGGAAGCGUGUCCCGGGGCGUCAGUCUAGUUUACUAAAUAGUACACUUUGUCUCACAUGUUCCUUUCCUUGUUUUUCUUUUACCUAGGCACUUAUGUCCUUCUAAUAAAGAUAUGUUUUUCUUUUGAAACAAAUGAUUUCCUUGAAUUUCUCGUUUAUGCAUUACAUGUCAUACAAUGUUA